Molecule: ribosomal RNA, 661 nt
Filed under: Phalacroma cuneus
Lineage: Eukaryota; Dinophyceae; Dinophysales; Dinophysaceae
Description: LSU rRNA
Rfam family: Eukaryotic large subunit ribosomal RNA
Source: RNAcentral
CUAAACAGGAUCCCCACAGUAAUGGCGAAUGAGCAGGGAUGAGCUCAGCAUGGAAAUUGGGGCCUAUGGCCUUGACUUGUAAGCUGUUGAGGUAUUGCCAACAGAGGCGCAGAUGUAAGUCUCUUGGAAAAGAGCAUCAGCGAGGGUGAGAGUCCUGCUUGCCAUCUGCAGCCCCCUGUGCACGGUGUACCUACUAAGAGUCACGUUCCUCGGGAUUGGAGCGCAAAGUGGGUGGUAACUUUCAUCUGAAGCUAAAUAUGGGUUUGAGACCGAUAGGAAACAAGUACCAUGAGGGAAAGGUGAAAAGGACUUUGGAAAGAGAGUUAAAAGUGCCUGAAAUUGCUGAAUGGGAAGCGAAUGGAACCAGUGUUUCCGGGUGAGAUUGUCAUAUGCUAUAAUGAUUGGCUGCUGAUUCAGCGCAAGUGUUCUGGCAAGCAUUGAUCUGUAAGUGUGUGGUGUGUCUUGCCUUGAGUGUCAUCGUGGGCUUCUGCAUUGAGAUAAUUCACAUUUCAGGGUAAUAUGUUCGUGAAGGUAUGAAUGUGCUUUGCGAUGUUUAUGCAUAAGCUUCAUCUUGCAUGUCUGGCUGUGGUGUGCUACCCACAUCCGGGGGGUCGAGCAUAUCUUUUCUGCACAGAUGUUGACUAAAUGAUCUAUUCGACCG